RNAcentral lists this ribosomal RNA (255 nucleotides) under uncultured bacterium. Its description in RNAcentral is "partial 16S ribosomal RNA". It matches the Rfam family "Bacterial small subunit ribosomal RNA", at positions 524 to 776 of the family's 1533-position model. The record is from RNAcentral.
UACGUAGGGUGCAAGCGUUGUCCGGAAUUAUUGGGCGUAAAGAGCUCGUAGGCGGUUUGUCGCGUCUGCUGUGAAAUCCCGAGGCUCAACCUCGGGUCUGCAGUGGGUACGGGCAGACUAGAGUGUGGUAGGGGAGACUGGAAUUCCUGGUGUAGCGGUGAAAUGCGCAGAUAUCAGGAGGAACACCGGUGGCGAAGGCGGGUCUCUGGGCCGAUACUGACGCUGGAGGAGCGAAAGCCGUGGGGAGCGAACAGG